CGCAUCUGUGCAUGCAGCAUAUCAAUAAGCGGAGGAAAAGAAACUAACAAGGAUUCCCCUAGUAACGGCGAGUGAAGCGGGAAGAGCUCAAAUUUGAAAUCUUAAAGGGUUUCCCUUUACGAAUUGUAGUUUAAAGAAGUGUUUUCUGUUGAGGUUUUGGUAAAAGUUCUUUGGAAUAGGACAUCAUAGAGGGUGAGAAUCCCGUAUUUGACCUUUACUUUCAACUUUGUGAUACACUUUCAAAGAGUCGGAUUGUUUGGGAAUGCAGUCCAAAAUGGGUGGUAAAUUUCAUCUAAAGCUAAAUAUUGGCGAGAGACCGAUAGCGAACAAGUACCGUGAGGGAAAGAUGAAAAGAACUUUGAAAAGAGAGUUAAACAGUACGUGAAAUUGUCAAAAGGGAAGCGUUUGACACCAGUGUUGUUUUUCUGAAAAUCAAUUAAAGAACUGUUUAUGCUAAGUUGUUUAGACUUUAUCAGCUAUCUGUUUAGUUUUGAGCUUUUCUUUAAUGCACUUUUCAGUUAACAAGUCAACAUCAAUUUCUUUUGCUGUAAAAAAGCUUGAGGAAGGUGGCUUGAGAUUCGUCUUAAGUGUUUAUAGCCUCUUGCCUAUGCAGUCGGAGAGAUUGAGGUCUGCAGCGUAGAUCCUUCGGGGCUAAAUGCAUUUGUGCUAAGUUAUAACAUUUUAUAGACAACUUGUUGACUAUGAUUUGUCUUGUAGCUUACUCGCUUAUGUUAUUUUACCUACGCUUAGGAUGUUGAAGUCAUCGUAUCGCGC
Molecule: ribosomal RNA, 774 nt
Filed under: uncultured Neocallimastigales
Lineage: Eukaryota; Fungi; Neocallimastigomycota; Neocallimastigomycetes; Neocallimastigales
Description: partial large subunit ribosomal RNA
Rfam family: Eukaryotic large subunit ribosomal RNA
Source: RNAcentral